Molecule: ribosomal RNA, 274 nt
Filed under: uncultured bacterium
Lineage: Bacteria
Description: partial 16S ribosomal RNA
Rfam family: Bacterial small subunit ribosomal RNA
Source: RNAcentral
AUACGUAGGUGGCAAACGUUGUCCGGAAUUACUGGGCGUAAAGGGCCCGUAGGCGGUCCAACAAGUCGUUUGUGAAAUCUCCCGGCUCAACUGGGAGUGGUCGAGCGAAACUGUUGGACUUGAGGAUGUCAGAGGAAGAUGGAAUUCCCGGUGUAGUGGUGAAAUGCGUAGAUAUCGGGAGGAACACCAGUGGCGAAAGCGGUCUUCUGGGGCAUUUCUGACGCUGAGGAGCGAAAGCGUGGGGAGCAAACCGGAUUAGAAACCCGGGUAGUCC